Molecule: ribosomal RNA, 482 nt
Filed under: uncultured bacterium
Lineage: Bacteria
Description: bacterial SSU rRNA
Rfam family: Bacterial small subunit ribosomal RNA
Source: RNAcentral
GACGAACGCUGGCGGCGUGCCUAACACAUGCAAGUCGAACGGAGACUUUAAGAACGAGAAUUUCGGUUCAAGUUUUUAAAGUCUUAGUGGCGACGGGUGAGUAACGCGUGAGCAAUCUGCCUUUCAGAGGGGGGAUAACACUCUGAAAAGAGUGCUAAUACCGCAUAAUGUGCCAUGGUGGCAUCACCGAGGCACCAAAGGAGCAAUCCGCUGAAAGAUGAGCUCGCGUCCAAUUAGGUAGUUGGUGGGGUAACGGCCCACCAAGCCGACGAUUGGUAGCCGGACUGAGAGGUUGAACGGCCACAUUGGGACUGAGACACGGCCCAGACUCCUACGGGAGGCAGCAGUGGGGAAUAUUGGACAAUGGGGGAAACCCUGAUCCAGCGACGCCGCGUGAGUGAAGAAGUAUUUCGGUAUGUAAAGCUCUAUCAGCAGGGAAGAAAAUGACGGUACCUGACUAAGAAGCUCCGGCUAAAUACGUG